This 392-nucleotide long non-coding RNA is filed under the name Medicago truncatula (barrel medic). RNAcentral describes it as "long non-coding RNA (MTRU_LNC003013)". The record is from RNAcentral. Lineage: Eukaryota; Viridiplantae; Streptophyta; Magnoliopsida; Fabales; Fabaceae.
GAACAAAAGUAAAAAACAAGCUAGAGUUGGGUGUGCAACUAAGGUUGGGCUUGCUUAUACAACUGUUCUAAGAGAUACUUGAUCUGAUCAUCCUUCUUCUGAAGUAGCUCAUCCUUUUCCCUCAUUCUUCGUUUAAAUCCAGCCUGAAUUCUAGCAGCCCUAGUGAUGUACUCUUCUUCUGGAUAGAAAGGAGUGAUGUCCAGCAGAGGCACAAAAUUCAGCUCUUUCUCCUUAGCUGCUUCAUGCAUAUCAUCCAAAAGCUUCUUCAGCAUAGCAGAGUGAGAUGACACACAUUUAGUUCUAAGCUGAUCCAGCAGCUCAUCAAAGCUUUUCUGUAGAUCCAUCCACUGAUCAUAAUAGUGAAUAGGAGGUGCAGGAACUGUUCUGCGAAG